Molecule: ribosomal RNA, 497 nt
Filed under: uncultured bacterium
Lineage: Bacteria
Description: partial 16S ribosomal RNA
Rfam family: Bacterial small subunit ribosomal RNA
Source: RNAcentral
GACGAACGCUGGCGGCGUGCCUAAUACAUGCAAGUUGAGCGCUGAAGGUUGGUACUUGUACCGACUGGAUGAGCAGCGAACGGGUGAGUAACGCGUGGGGAAUCUGCCUUUGAGCGGGGGACAACAUUUGGAAACGAAUGCUAAUACCGCAUAAGAACUUUAAACACAAGUUUUAAGUUUGAAAGAUGCAAUUGCAUCACUCAAAGAUGAUCCCGCGUUGUAUUAGCUAGUUGGUGAGGUAAAGGCUCACCAAGGCGAUGAUACAUAGCCGACCUGAGAGGGUGAUCGGCCACAUUGGGACUGAGACACGGCCCAAACUCCUACGGGAGGCAGCAGUAGGGAAUCUUCGGCAAUGGACGAAAGUCUGACCGAGCAACGCCGCGUGAGUGAAGAAGGUUUUCGGAUCGUAAAACUCUGUUGGUAGAGAAGAACGUUGGUGAGAGUGGAAAGCUCAUCAAGUGACGGUAACUACCCAGAAAGGGACGGCUAACUACGUG